RNAcentral lists this transfer RNA (71 nucleotides) under Albidovulum denitrificans. RNAcentral's name for it is "Defluviimonas denitrificans tRNA". It matches the Rfam family "tRNA". From Rfam's summary of the family: Transfer RNA (tRNA) molecules are approximately 80 nucleotides in length. Their secondary structure includes four short double-helical elements and three loops (D, anti-codon, and T loops). Further hydrogen bonds mediate the characteristic L-shaped molecular structure. tRNAs have two regions of fundamental functional importance: the anti-codon, which is responsible for specific mRNA codon recognition, and the 3' end, to which the tRNAs corresponding amino acid is attached (by aminoacyl-tRNA synthetases). tRNAs cope with the degeneracy of the genetic code in two manners: having more than one tRNA (with a specific anti-codon) for a particular amino acid; and 'wobble' base-pairing, i.e. permitting non-standard base-pairing at the 3rd anti-codon position. The record is from Rfam by way of RNAcentral. Lineage: Bacteria; Pseudomonadati; Pseudomonadota; Alphaproteobacteria; Rhodobacterales; Paracoccaceae.
GCGGGUAUGGUGAAAUGGUAUCAUGAGAGCCUUCCAAGCUCCAGGUGCGGGUUCGAUUCCCGCUACCCGCU